Molecule: ribosomal RNA, 497 nt
Filed under: uncultured bacterium
Lineage: Bacteria
Description: partial 16S ribosomal RNA
Rfam family: Bacterial small subunit ribosomal RNA
Source: RNAcentral
GAUGAACGCUGGCGGCGUGCCUAAUACAUGCAAGUCGAGCGAACAGAUGAGGAGCUUGCUCCUCUGACGUUAGCGGCGGACGGGUGAGUAACACGUGGAUAACCUACCUAUAAGACUGGGAUAACUUCGGGAAACCGGAGCUAAUACCGGAUAAUAUAUUGAACCGCAUGGUUCAAUAGUGAAAGACGGUUUUGCUGUCACUUAUAGAUUGAUCCGCGCCGCAUUAGCUAGUUGGUAAGGUAACGGCUUACCAAGGCAACUAUGCGUAGCCGACCUGAGAGGGUGAUAGGCCACACUGGAACUGAGACGCGGUCCAGACUCCUACGGGAGGCAGCAGUAGGGAAUCUGCCGCAAUGGGCGGAAGCCUGACGGAGCAACGCCGCGUGAGUGAUGAAGGUCUUCGGAUCGUAAAACUCUGUUAUUAGGGAAGAACAAAUGUGUAAGUAACUAUGCACGUCUUGACGGUACCUAAUCAGAAAGCCACGGCUAACUACGUG